RNAcentral lists this long non-coding RNA (377 nucleotides) under Vigna radiata. Its description in RNAcentral is "long non-coding RNA (VRAD_LNC015928)". Lineage: Eukaryota; Viridiplantae; Streptophyta; Magnoliopsida; Fabales; Fabaceae. The record is from RNAcentral.
GGGAAAGUUGAGAAAAGGAAAAGAUAGGCAUUGAGCUAAUGUGAUGAAGGAAAAUGCAUGAAAGGAAAAAAAAGGGAAGAAAAGAUACAACAGAUAAGCAUGAAAGGAAAAGCUCAAUACAAAAGAAGAAAAGGGAAGGUUGGGAAUGAGAGAGAUUGGUAAAAAGAGAGUUUGUGCUUGAACCAUGAUUGUGUGAAUAGCUCUCUAAACUCAAGGAUUUCUUGAUCUAGAAAAACCAAUUUUUCUUGUUAACCCAAUCACAUUAUAAGCCUUGAAAAGUCCUUGUGAUGACAUCUGUAUGUGGUGAUAUUUGAUUGUGGUAAAUGAAGGGCAAUUUUGUGCUAUGUGACAUGUAGAUAGUAAGAGGGAAGAAGUGA